Oreochromis niloticus (Nile tilapia) is the source of this 1875-nucleotide long non-coding RNA. The record is from Ensembl. NCBI's taxonomy places the organism in Eukaryota, Metazoa, Chordata, Actinopteri, Cichliformes, Cichlidae.
AUGAGGAUCAAGCUGAAAAGACGACUGUGCUACAAAGGCCAUCAGCUGUUCCAGACUGUCACCUGGUCUAAACUGAUCCAAGCCCUGCGUAAACUCAAACAGAUUCAUCCACAGUACACAGAUAUUGUUAUCAGAGAUGAUGCAUUGCUUUGUGAUCCCACGUUACCUGAUGAUGACAGCAGUGAUGAAGCCAGCAUGGCAAGUGAUGAUUAUGAUGAAGCAGAUUUAAUGGAAAUUGACAACUAUGAAAAAGAUGCCCUUUUGUGUGAAAGUGAGUCUGAAAGUGAACAAGCUAUUAAUAUGCAAUCCUGUGAUGAACAACCAGAGGAACAAAAUCCAGAGGAACCAGAAAGUGAUUUGAACAAUGGAGGUUUUGCUCUAGAAAGUUGUCUGCAGCCUGUAGACAUUUCAGAAGAGAUUCUCUGUUUCACUGAUAACACAUAUUGUGUGGCUCCUGCAGAAAGAAACAGUCCUGUUAGCUUCUUCAGAACUCCUCAUUUGGAAGCCAUGGCAUUUCCUGUGCAGUUUCCUACUGGUCAGAAUACACUGGAUGAAAAGAGACGUCUCAAGCUCACACCAAGUGCUUACUUCAAGUCAAGGCUUUUCAACAUUGAUGCAAGAUUUGCUAAAGAUACAAAUUACCUGUUUUUCUCACAGUUCGUUACUGAAAUACAUUUGGCUAAUUCCAGCAUGACAAUACAGCUAAGGAAAGGUAAAACUAUGACGAAAGAUGGACGCAAAAUCACAUCAGGAAUGUUACAAAGUAAGACAGAAGUAGAGAAGCUGGUAAGAAAUAAAGAUGCAAUCAGAUUUAUGCAGCCACUCAGAGGAACUCCAGCUUACUGGCAGAAAACUACCAGAGAUCUAUUCAGUAUGGUUCGCCAAAUAGGAACACCUCAGUUCUUUGUCACUUUCUCUGCUGCUGAGAUGAGAUGGCCUGAAGUGAUUCAAGCAAUAAAGAGACAGCAAGGUGAAGAGGUUGAUUUUGAAGCCCUGGACUGGUCAGAAAAGUGUGAAAUUCUACGAUCAAAUCCAGUAACCACCAUGCGAAUGUUUGAUAAGCGUGUUGAGGCUUUGUUCAGAGAUUUGCUGUUUUCUCCUGCACAGCCCCUUGGUGAAAUCAUUGAUUACUUUUACAGAGUUGAGUUCCAGCACAGAGGUAGUCCACAUAUACACAUGUUGCUGUGGAUUCGAGAAAAGGUAGAAGUAGAUGUGGAUGAUGACCAAACUGUCUGUGACUUUGUGGACAGAUACAUCUCAGCUCAGCUCCCUGAUCCAGAAAAACAACCUGAACUGCACAAAAAAGUCACUGAGCUACAAAAGCACAGCAAAAACCACACAAAGACAUGCUUUAAGAGUGUGAACUCUGGUUGUAGAUUUGGCUUUCCAAAACCACCAUCCACAAGAACAAUGAUUGUGAGACAGGAUGAGGAUUCAGACACUGAAGCUGCAAAAGCCAAACUCAGACCUUUGUUGAACCUGCUGAAGGAACCUGAAGCUGCUUCCCUCACCAUAGAGCAGAUUCUGUCACGAUGCAACUUGACAAUGAAUGAGUAUGAACAAUGCCUCCAAGACAUAAACAAGAAAACAGCUCUUAUUCUGAAACGUGACCCAAAGGACUGUUGGAUCAACAAUUACAACCCAGACCUGCUUGAAGCCUGGAACUCUAAUUUAGAUGUCUCGUUAAUAUUGAAUGCCUAUUCAUGUAUAGAAUACCUCUGUAAAUAUAUAACGAAGAGAGAAUCUGGCCUCUCUGAAUACCUGAAGACAGUUAUUGAUAACUCUGAUAAGAACACCGUCAAUGAAUGUGAUGAAAUGAGAGCUGUGAUGCAGGCUUACUCAAAAAGAGAGAAAUCAGUGCACAGGAGUGUGUGA